AUUGAACGCUGGCGGCAGGCUUAACACAUGCAAGUCGAACGGUAGCAGGAGAAAGCUUGCUUUCUUGCUGACGAGUGGCGGACGGGUGAGUAAUGCUUGGGAAUCUGGCUUAUGGAGGGGGAUAACGACGGGAAACUGUCGCUAAUACCGCGUAUUAUCGGAAGAUGAAAGUGCGGGACUGAGAGGCCGCAUGCCAUAGGAUGAGCCCAAGUGGGAUUAGGUAGUUGGUGGGGUAAAUGCCUACCAAGCCUGCGAUCUCUAGCUGGUCUGGGAGGAUGACCAGCCACACUGGAACUGAGACACGGUCCAGACUCCUACGGGAGGCAGCAGUGGGGAAUAUUGCGCAAUGGGGGGAACCCUGACGCAGCCAUGCCGCGUGAAUGAAGAAGGCCUUCGGGUUGUAAAGUUCUUUCGGUAUUGAGGAAGGUUGAUGUGUUAAUAGCACAUCAAAUUGACGUUAAAUACAGAAGAAGCACCGGCUAACUCCGUGCCAGCAGCCGCGGUAAUACGGAGGGUGCGAGCGUUAAUCGGAAUAACUGGGCGUAAAGGGCACGCAGGCGGUUAUUUAAGUGAGGUGUGAAAGCCCUGGGCUUAACCUAGGAAUUGCAUUUCAGACUGGGUAACUAGAGUACUUUAGGGAGGGGUAGAAUUCCACGUGUAGCGGUGAAAUGCGUAGAGAUGUGGAGGAAUACCGAAGGCGAAGGCAGCCCCUUGGGAAUGUACUGACGCUCAUGUGCGAAAGCGUGGGGAGCAAACAGG
This 759-nucleotide ribosomal RNA is filed under the name Haemophilus influenzae. RNAcentral's name for it is "bacterial SSU rRNA". It matches the Rfam family "Bacterial small subunit ribosomal RNA", at positions 28 to 776 of the family's 1533-position model. The record is from RNAcentral. Lineage: Bacteria; Pseudomonadati; Pseudomonadota; Gammaproteobacteria; Pasteurellales; Pasteurellaceae.